AAAUCAGCCCAAUAAGGCAGCAAGAAUGAGCUUAGUUGCAAAUUCUCUGCAUAGCCUCAUGUCACAUGACUGUCCAAUCGCUGCAUAUAGAAUCAUGAAUUCUCAAGCUUGACCAACAAGAACAUCCUUGUAAGGAGUUGGCGCGAUGGUAGUGGAUGUUGUUUCUUUCACUGGCGCCUUUUUCCUUCGACUUUGCUCUUCUACUAGCAGUGGCAUCUGUCCCUCCUCCCCCGAGGACUGUCUCCUUCGUCUUUGCUCUUCUAUUAGCAGUGGCAUUUGCCCCUCUCUUUCUUGUAUUAAUCGGUCCUGUGCUCCACCUCGUAGCUUUUCUAGCCUCAAUCCACUCAUUUGUUGCAUCUUGAACACUUUCACCACAUUCAUUAAUCCUCCAAUGAACAGCAAUAAACUCCCAAAUAACCCAAACAACAUCCAGUCUUCACUUAACAAUUUCAAGCCAUGGUGGGCAUAUCUUGACUGCUCUCUCCAAUUGAGGAGUGAUCCUACCAGAAAUAGUAAACUGCCCAAUAAGAAGGGAAUGUUGACACUUUCUUGCAAGAUUUGGACAUGCCCAUCCGCUCUUUCGUAAAUCUGACACGAGUUAUGGAUUGAACCAAG
This 615-nucleotide unclassified non-coding RNA is filed under the name Hevea brasiliensis (rubber tree). The record is from RNAcentral. Lineage: Eukaryota; Viridiplantae; Streptophyta; Magnoliopsida; Malpighiales; Euphorbiaceae.